RNAcentral lists this unclassified non-coding RNA (254 nucleotides) under Xylodon sp. RNAcentral describes it as "partial contains 5.8S ribosomal RNA, internal transcribed spacer 2, and large subunit ribosomal RNA". The record is from RNAcentral. Lineage: Eukaryota; Fungi; Basidiomycota; Agaricomycetes; Hymenochaetales; Schizoporaceae.
AACGCACAUUGCGCCCAUUAGUAUUCUAGUGGGCAUGCCUGUUCGAGCGUCAUUUCGACCAUCAAGCUUUAUUUGCUUGGAGUUGGGAAUUUACUCGUGAGUAAUUCCUCAAAUCUAUCGGCGGAGUUGCGAUGACCCCAAGCGUAGUAAUUAUUUCUCGCUUUAGGUGUGUUAACGCUGACGUUUAGCCGUUAAACCCCCUAUAUUUACGUAGGUUUGACCUCGGAUCAGGUAGGAAUACCCGCUGAACUUAA